RNAcentral lists this ribosomal RNA (304 nucleotides) under uncultured bacterium. RNAcentral describes it as "partial 16S ribosomal RNA". It matches the Rfam family "Bacterial small subunit ribosomal RNA", at positions 506 to 807 of the family's 1533-position model. The record is from RNAcentral.
CAGCAGCAGCCACGGUAAUACGAGGGGUGCAAGCGUUAUUCGGAUUGAUUGGGUGUAAAGGGUGUGCAGACGGCUUAUUAAGUCACUUGUUAAAUUCUUCGGCCUAACUGAGGGUCUGCGAGUGAUACUGAUGAGCUAGAGGGUGGAAGAGAGAAGUGGAAUUCUCGGAGUAGCGGUAAAAUGCGUAGAUCUCGAGAGGAACACCAAUGGCGAAGGCAGCUUCUUGGUCCAUUCCUGACGUUCAUACACGAAAGCGUGGGGAGCAAACAGGAUUAGAUACCCCCGUAGUCCCUGUCUCUUAUAC